AAAUUGAAGAGUUUGAUCAUGGCUCAGAUUGAACGCUGGCGGUAGGCCUAACACAUGCAAGUCGAACGGUAACAGGAAGCAGCUUGCUGCUUUGCUGACGAGUGGCGGACGGGUGAGUAAUGUCUGGGAAACUGCC
This 136-nucleotide ribosomal RNA is filed under the name Escherichia coli. RNAcentral describes it as "partial 16S ribosomal RNA". It matches the Rfam family "Bacterial small subunit ribosomal RNA", at positions 1 to 130 of the family's 1533-position model. The record is from RNAcentral. Lineage: Bacteria; Pseudomonadati; Pseudomonadota; Gammaproteobacteria; Enterobacterales; Enterobacteriaceae.